UACGUAGGGGGCCAGCGUUGUCCGGAAUCAUUGGGCGUAAAGCGCGCGUAGGCGGCCCUGUAAGUCCGCUGUGAAAGUCAAAGGCUCAACCUUUGAAAGCCGGUGGAUACUGCAGGGCUAGAGUCCGGAAGAGGCGAGUGGAAUUCCUGGUGUAGCGGUGGAAUGCGCAGAUAUCAGGAGGAACACCAAUAGCGAAGGCAGCUCGCUGGGACGGUACUGACGCUAAGGCGCGAAAGCGUGGGGAGCGAACAGG
This 253-nucleotide ribosomal RNA is filed under the name uncultured bacterium. RNAcentral describes it as "partial 16S ribosomal RNA". It matches the Rfam family "Bacterial small subunit ribosomal RNA", at positions 524 to 776 of the family's 1533-position model. The record is from RNAcentral.